Molecule: unclassified non-coding RNA, 310 nt
Filed under: Hevea brasiliensis (rubber tree)
Lineage: Eukaryota; Viridiplantae; Streptophyta; Magnoliopsida; Malpighiales; Euphorbiaceae
Source: RNAcentral
GGCAAAGCCAGUCAAAACAACCCCAUUGUUCAGAAGCAGGUCCUGGAACUUGGGGCAUUGACAGUGCUAAUGAAGAUGAUGAAAUCUCACACCACGGAAGAAGCUGUAAAAGCAUUAUUUGCUAUUUCAGCACUAAUAAGAAAUAACAUGAAUGGCCGAAGUUUGUUUUAUCAGGAAGCUGGAGAUACGAUGCUUCAGGAGGUUCUUAGCAAUUCAAAUCUGGAUAUCAGGUUGCAUAAGAAGUCACUGUUUCUUAUUGCUGAUUUAGCCGAGAGUCAGCUGGAAAAUGAGAACACAGCUGAGGUUUCCU